UAGAGACGGGGUUUCACCGUGUUAGCCAGGAUGGUCUCGAUCUCCUGACCUCGUGAUCCGCCCGCCUCGGCCUCCCAAAGUGCUGGGAUUACAGACGUGAGCCACCGCGCCCGGCCUAUAAGCAACCUGUUCUAAGUAAAAGGAAGUAUCUCUCUGUCACCCAGGCUGGAGUGCAGUGACACAAUCUUGGUUCACUGCAACCUCUGCUUCCCAGGUUUAGGCGAUCCUCCUGGCCCAGCUUCCGAGUAGCUGGGACUACAGCAUUUUAUGAAACCACAACCAGGAUUACAUAAAACCAGAAAUUAAGAUUGGUCACAGUAAAAGGGAAAACACUUAUGGAUAUGGAGAUGCCACAAAAUUAGAGUAUUUGGGAUCGAAACCAUCACCUCACCUGCCUGGACUCACAAUGAGCAAUACUCUGGGAUCUUUUGAUAUUUGUGGAUUGCAUGUUACUGAAAGCCAAUUUACCUAAUUCUGAAUAAUACCAAUGCUUAUUUCGAGAAAAUUUCAGCCUUGGAACUACACGCAUCGACCUGCUUUCCUCUGACUUCAAUCUGAGAAACACUGUUCUUAAAUAUAAAAGCACAUUGGCCUAAUCUCCCUAGGGAUGAAUCUCUAGCUUCUCACAUUAAUACACAUCGUAUUGUCUUAAGGGUGCCAUGAAUGUGCUCCGCUGCUGUUAAGAACUGGCAAUUCAAAUAUCCCUUUUCCCACCACUUGAACUAAGCCCAAGCUGAUACCAGGAUUGUGAAAGAACGAAGAUGGCAUGCUUCCUCUGAAAGUCAGUAUGUUUGCCCAGGACACAAGUAUUUUAGAAAUUGACAUUUUCUACCCUCAACAAUUGCAGUCUUCACAAUAAAUGUGAAUUUUUAAAAAGGAAGGGAAAUAUGAUUCUGAAAACAUUUAGUAACUUACUGGGAUUUCAUCUAUAUAAAUCAAAUAAAACUCUCAAUUAUUUUCU
This is a long non-coding RNA of Pan troglodytes (chimpanzee), 961 nucleotides long. RefSeq lists it as uncharacterized. The record is from RefSeq and is a predicted model, not a curated record. NCBI's taxonomy places the organism in Eukaryota, Metazoa, Chordata, Mammalia, Primates, Hominidae. The transcript is spliced from 6 exons.